Leptonychotes weddellii (Weddell seal) is the source of this 523-nucleotide non-coding RNA. NCBI's taxonomy places the organism in Eukaryota, Metazoa, Chordata, Mammalia, Carnivora, Phocidae. The record is from RefSeq and is a predicted model, not a curated record.
UCUGCGGGGUGGCGGGACCGCGGAAUCGCAAAUAUGACUGAAGCUGACGUAAAUCCAAAGGCCUACCCCCUCGCAGACGCCCACCUCACCAAGAAACUACUGGACCUUGUUCCGCAGUCAUGUAACUACAAGCAGCUUCGGAAAGGAGCCAAUGAAGCCACCAAAACCCUCAACAGAGGCAUCUCUGAGUUCAUCGUGAUGGCUGCAGACGCUGAGCCCCUGGAGAUCAUCCUGCACCUUCCACUGCUAUGUGAGGAUAAGAAUGUGCCCUACGUGUUUGUGCGCUCCAAGCAGGCCCUCGGGCGGGCCUGCGGGGUUUCCAGGUCUGUCAUCGCCUGUUCUGUCACCGUCAAAGAAGGCUCACAGCUGAAGCAGCAGAUCCAGUCUAUUCAGCAGUCCAUUGAAAGGCUCUUAGUCUAAACCAGUGGCCUCUGCCCGCCCCCCCGAAUCCUCCCCCUGGGGUUGUGUAUCAUAUUGUCUGUAUCGUCAUGUAGUUUCUCCAGCUACCUUCUCAUUAGAUUCU